UCAGGUGAAAGUCAAACCAAAUUCUCUGACACCGCAAAACAGUCAAUCCAUCCAUAUGAUUUUGGAUUCCAGAAAUUCGGUGAAUCAAUUAGAGGUACCAGCAUAAAACUGGUUGCGACUGAAGUUUGCUUCCUGGAAACUCGUUUGAAAUUCUAGUAAGCCUGGCAAGCUAGUUGGUAGUUAGUUCGAUCACAUUCCUCUCAGCCUCACACUCACGCCUGUGGGCGUUGCGGCAAAAUCACGGCCGUAUAUGAUGACACAGGAAUGCUGAAACGGGAAAAACUGAUUGGACAAGUGAAAUAUCUGCUGGAGAUUGUCGGAGAUAACCAAGCCAGGCGUCGUUGGAUGAUAAAGCACAAAAGGGAAU
RNAcentral lists this small RNA (367 nucleotides) under Histoplasma ohiense. RNAcentral's name for it is "hypothetical lncRNA". Lineage: Eukaryota; Fungi; Ascomycota; Eurotiomycetes; Onygenales; Ajellomycetaceae. The record is from RNAcentral.